This 801-nucleotide ribosomal RNA is filed under the name Lactobacillus casei group sp. RNAcentral's name for it is "bacterial SSU rRNA". It matches the Rfam family "Bacterial small subunit ribosomal RNA", at positions 20 to 785 of the family's 1533-position model. The record is from RNAcentral. Lineage: Bacteria; Bacillati; Bacillota; Bacilli; Lactobacillales; Lactobacillaceae.
UGGCUCAGGAUGAACGCUGGCGGCGUGCUUAAUACAUGCAAGUCGAACGAGUUCUCGUUGAUGAUCGGUGCUUGCACCGAGAUUCAACAUGGAACGAGUGGCGGACGGGUGAGUAACACGUGGGUAACCUGCCCUUAAGUGGGGGAUAACAUUUGGAAACAGAUGCUAAUACCGCAUAGAUCCAAGAACCGCAUGGUUCUUGGCUGAAAGAUGGCGUAAGCUAUCGCUUUUGGAUGGACCCGCGGCGUAUUAGCUAGUUGGUGAGGUAAUGGCUCACCAAGGCGAUGAUACGUAGCCGAACUGAGAGGUUGAUCGGCCACAUUGGGACUGAGACACGGCCCAAACUCCUACGGGAGGCAGCAGUAGGGAAUCUUCCACAAUGGACGCAAGUCUGAUGGAGCAACGCCGCGUGAGUGAAGAAGGCUUUCGGGUCGUAAAACUCUGUUGUUGGAGAAGAAUGGUCGGCAGAGUAACUGUUGUCGGCGUGACGGUAUCCAACCAGAAAGCCACGGCUAACUACGUGCCAGCAGCCGCGGUAAUACGUAGGUGGCAAGCGUUAUCCGGAUUUAUUGGGCGUAAAGCGAGCGCAGGCGGUUUUUUAAGUCUGAUGUGAAAGCCCUCGGCUUAACCGAGGAAGCGCAUCGGAAACUGGGAAACUUGAGUGCAGAAGAGGACAGUGGAACUCCAUGUGUAGCGGUGAAAUGCGUAGAUAUAUGGAAGAACACCAGUGGCGAAGGCGGCUGUCUGGUCUGUAACUGACGCUGAGGCUCGAAAGCAUGGGUAGCGAACAGGAUUAGAUAC